GACGAACGCUGGCGGCGCGCCUAACACAUGCAAGUCGAACGGAGUUUCCCCUUCGGGGGGAGCUUAGUGGCGGACGGGUGAGUAACACGUGAGGAACCCGCCUUUGAGAGCGGGAUACCGUCUGGAAACGGACGUUAAUACCGCAUAAUGCAGCGAGGCCACAUGGCCAUGCUGCCAAAGAUUUAUCGCUCAAAGAUGGCCUCGCGCCUGAUUAGAUAGUUGGCGGGGUAACGGCCCACCAAGUCUGCGAUCAGUAGCCGGACUGAGAGGUCGAACGGCCACAUUGGGACUGACGAUACGGCCCAGACUCCUACGGGAGGCAGCAGUGGGGGAUAUUGCACAAUGGGCGAAAGCCUGAUGCAGCGACGCCGCGUGAGGGAAGACGGUUUUCGGAUUGUAAACCUCUGUCUUCGGGGACGAAACAAGACGGUACCCGAGGAGGAAGCCCCGGACUAACUACCGUG
RNAcentral lists this ribosomal RNA (464 nucleotides) under uncultured bacterium. RNAcentral's name for it is "bacterial SSU rRNA". It matches the Rfam family "Bacterial small subunit ribosomal RNA", at positions 28 to 507 of the family's 1533-position model. The record is from RNAcentral.